This 428-nucleotide ribosomal RNA is filed under the name uncultured Acidobacteriota bacterium. Its description in RNAcentral is "bacterial SSU rRNA". It matches the Rfam family "Bacterial small subunit ribosomal RNA", at positions 958 to 1385 of the family's 1533-position model. The record is from RNAcentral. Lineage: Bacteria; Pseudomonadati; Acidobacteriota.
AACGCGAAGAACCUUACCUGGGCUUGAACCGCACAGGACCAUCUCUGGAAACAGAGACUUCCCGCAAGGGACCUGUGUAGAGGUGCUGCAUGGCUGUCGUCAGCUCGUGCCGUGAGGUGUUGGGUUAAGUCCCGCAACGAGCGCAACCCUUACUCAUAGUUGCUACCCGCAAGGGAGAACUCUAUGAGGACUGCUCCGGAUAACGGAGAGGAAGGUGGGGAUGAGGUCAAGUCAGCAUGGCCUUUAUGUCCAGGGCUACACACGUGUUACAAUGCGCGCUACAGAGCGUUGCAAACCCGCGAGGGGGAGGCUAAUCGCACAAAAGCGCGCUCAGUUCGGAUUGCAGUCUGCAACUCGACUGCAUGAAGCCGGAAUCGCUAGUAAUGGCGCAUCAGAACGGCGCCGUGAAUACGUUCCCGGGCCUUGUA